GUUUAGUUCUUCAACCGAAGUAUAAAUUUCAAACUAUGUAACUGCAAAAUAUUUAAUUUUUUUAAUUUUCAUUAUUAAGCAUCUGGCAACAUGAUAAAUUAAAUUAAUGAAUAAAACUAAAUUAUAAACCAGUCUUAGAUUUCAAUACACCGAAAACGUCAGGCCCUAAAGAGAAAAUUAAAUACACACACCUAUAUAAACAACGUAAUAUCAUUCAGAAAUCUCUGUCGAAGUUUGUCGUUUUAUUCCCUCUUUUAUUAUUUAUUUAAACGACAGCAAUGCGUUUGUAAAUACUACACAAAAGCAUUCAGUUUUCAUUUAACUCGUCUAAGGUGUAGAUCGUAAUAUCACCUGCUAACUAAAACUAACCAGCGAUCGAUCGGUUGUGUUUAAAACGUUUCAUACGUGUUCAAAAGUGUGCGAACUUUGGUUUAAAAAAAAAAAAAAACAUAUCAAUAUAAUACAAAAAAAUUGAAGAAAUUUUAAACUUUGUACAUUUUUUUCUUACUUUUUGAUUGCGGUUUUUAAAAAGCUUUUUCCAAAUAUUCCACAAAAGAGGAACUUGCUUCAAUAAUCUUCAUUUAUAAAAAAGCUAUUUAAACUCAUUAUUUAUUAACUACUAAACUUGUUUGUUAUUUCUUGAAAAACGUUG
Molecule: long non-coding RNA, 652 nt
Organism: Lucilia cuprina (Australian sheep blowfly)
Lineage: Eukaryota; Metazoa; Arthropoda; Insecta; Diptera; Calliphoridae
Exons: 2
Source: RefSeq, a predicted model, not a curated record